UACGGGGGGUGCGAGCGUUGUCCGGAAUCACUGGGCUUAAAGGGCGCGUAGGCGGGCUGCUAAGUCAGGGGUGAAAGCCCACGGCUCAACCGGGGAAUUGCGCCUGAUACUGGCGGGCUAGAGUUCGAUAGGGGUGAGUGGAACUCCAGGUGGAGCGGUGAAAUGCGUAGAUAUCUGGAGGAACACCGGUGGCGAAAGCGGCUCACUGGAUCGAUACUGACGCUGAGGUGCGAAAGCUAGGGUAGCAAACGGG
RNAcentral lists this ribosomal RNA (253 nucleotides) under uncultured bacterium. RNAcentral's name for it is "partial 16S ribosomal RNA". It matches the Rfam family "Bacterial small subunit ribosomal RNA", at positions 524 to 776 of the family's 1533-position model. The record is from RNAcentral.